RNAcentral lists this ribosomal RNA (470 nucleotides) under uncultured Acidovorax sp. Its description in RNAcentral is "bacterial SSU rRNA". It matches the Rfam family "Bacterial small subunit ribosomal RNA", at positions 916 to 1381 of the family's 1533-position model. Lineage: Bacteria; Pseudomonadati; Pseudomonadota; Betaproteobacteria; Burkholderiales; Comamonadaceae. The record is from RNAcentral.
GGACGGGGCCCGCACAAGCGGUGGAGCAUGUGGUUUAAUUCGACGCAACGCGAAAAACCUUACCCACCUUUGACAUGUACGGAAUCCUUUAGAGAUAGAGGAGUGCUCGAAAGAGAACCGUAACACAGGUGCUGCAUGGCUGUCGUCAGCUCGUGUCGUGAGAUGUUGGGUUAAGUCCCGCAACGAGCGCAACCCUUGUCAUUAGUUGCUACAUUUAGUUGGGCACUCUAAUGAGACUGCCGGUGACAAACCGGAGGAAGGUGGGGAUGACGUCAAGUCCUCAUGGCCCUUAUAGGUGGGGCUACACACGUCAUACAAUGGAUGGUACAAAGGGUCGCCAACCCGCGAGGGGGAGCCAAUCCCAUAAAGCCAUUCGUAGUCCGGAUCGCAGUCUGCAACUCGACCGCGUGAAGUCGGAAUCGCUAGUAAUCGUGGAUCAGAAUGUCACGGUGAAUACGUUCCCGGGUCUU